UACAGCCAUAUCACAUUGAAAUGCCAGUUCUCAUAUGAUCGCCAAAGUUAAGCAAUGUUGAGCCUGGUCAGUACGUGUAUAGGUGACCACUUGGGAAUACCUGCUGCUGUAAG
This is a non-coding RNA of Acanthosepion pharaonis, 113 nucleotides long. NCBI's taxonomy places the organism in Eukaryota, Metazoa, Mollusca, Cephalopoda, Sepiida, Sepiidae. The record is from the annotation of a GenBank genome assembly.